RNAcentral lists this ribosomal RNA (426 nucleotides) under Prosthecina avita. Its description in RNAcentral is "partial 16S ribosomal RNA". It matches the Rfam family "Archaeal large subunit ribosomal RNA", at positions 1911 to 2600 of the family's 2987-position model. Lineage: Eukaryota; Metazoa; Arthropoda; Insecta; Zygentoma; Nicoletiidae. The record is from RNAcentral.
GGUCCUGUGAGUGAUGUGUGCGGGAUUUGGCCUGCCCAAUGAUGUAUUGAAUGGCCGCGGUAUUUUGACCGUGCAAAGGUAGCAUAAUCAUUAGUCUUUUAAUUGAGGUCUGGAAUGAAUGGUCGGACGGAGAAUAAGCUUUCUUAAGAUUAAAUUUAAAAUGAAUUUUACUUUUUAGUGAAAAGGCUUAAAUUUUCUUGGGGGACGAUAAGACCCUAUAGAUCUUUAUGCCCCCAAUUCUUUACGAAGAACUGGGGGUAUUUUGUUGGGGUGACAGGGAGAUAAUAUAAACUUUCUUAAUAUUAAAUUACUAGUGAGUAUAAGUGAAGAUCCGCCUGUGGCGAGUGCUAGAUUAAGUUACCUUAGGGAUAACAGCGUAAUUUCCUUUAAGAGUUCAAAUCGACAGGGGAGAUCGCGACCUCGAUG